RNAcentral lists this ribosomal RNA (553 nucleotides) under uncultured bacterium. RNAcentral describes it as "partial 16S ribosomal RNA". It matches the Rfam family "Bacterial small subunit ribosomal RNA", at positions 355 to 898 of the family's 1533-position model. The record is from RNAcentral.
UAGGGAAUCUUCCACAAUGGACGCAAGUCUGAUGGAGCAACGCCGCGUGAGUGAAGAAGGUUUUCGGACCGUAAAGCUCUGUUGUUGGUGAAGAAGGAUAGAGGUAGUAACUGGCCUUUAUUUUGACGGUAAUCAACCAGAAAGUCACGGCUAACUACGUGCCAGCAGCCGCGGUAAUCGUAGGUGGCAAGCGUUGUCCGGAUUUAUUGGGCGUAAAGCGAGCGCAGGCGGAAGAAUAAGUCUGAUGUGAAAGCCCUCGGCUUAACCGAGGAAUUGCAUCGGAAACUGUUUUUCUUGAGUGCAGAAGAGGAGAGUAGAACUCCAUGUGUAGCGGUGGAAUGCGUAGAUAUAUGGAAGAAUACCAGUGGCGAAGGCGGCUCUCUGGUCUGCAACUGACGCUGAGGCUCGAAAGCAUGGGUAGCGAACAGGAUUAGAUACCCUGGUAGUCCAUGCCGUAAACGAUGAGUGCUAAGUGUUGGGAGGCUUCCGCCUCUCAGUGCUGCAGCUAACGCAUUAAGCACUCCGCCUGGGGGAGUACGACCGCAAGGUUGAA